Molecule: long non-coding RNA, 1036 nt
Organism: Syngnathus typhle (broad-nosed pipefish)
Lineage: Eukaryota; Metazoa; Chordata; Actinopteri; Syngnathiformes; Syngnathidae
Exons: 6
Source: RefSeq, a predicted model, not a curated record
CGUCGGGUUCGCAUGGCACCUGGCCAGGAUGUUGCUUGCCAACUGGCAGCCGGCAAGGGUCACAGUCAAGACACUGUCUCUUCAGGGAGGGAGAGGGAGACAGAGCGCGAGACAGAGCGCGAGACAGAGCGCGAGACAGAGCGCGAGACAGAGCGCGAGACAGAGCGCGAGACAGAGAGCGAGACAGAGAGCGAGACAGAGAGCGAGACAGAGAGCGAGACAGAGAGACAUUGUCAUGAUCUCACUGAUUUGUAACUCUGUUAUGAUAACAAGCAACUCGAACCAUCUCAGCGUCAUCAAAGAGACUUUGCCUUUUUUUGUGUAAUGCCACCAUAGAUUGGUGCCAGUGAGGAAAUGUGUGCAGGAACCCUCAUUUGAAACACCAACCAUAGUUCAAAACUCAAAAUAAAAUCUACUAAAAUGGGAUUUUUGUGAUGAGUCUUAUCAUGGAAAUUCAGUUUUUGGAUGAUCAGCUAUGCUUUGUGGGAGCUCGGACAGCGUGACUAAGCGACCGAAACAGAUUUUUCUUCAGGUUCAUACAACUUCAGGAAACAAGUACGCAAACACACACAGAUCAAAGAGGACAUCCAGAGCGACCUUCAGCCCAGUCGGCGUAUAUCUUGGUUAAAUACUAAAAGCCCUCCACAAACCAGAGCCAAUCUGAAGUGGUCGCACAAUGAAAGACCACCUCGCAAUGAUGACGACGACCACUAAACUUUACUGCCCAAGCCAACUGGAAAUCAAUUAAUUCGUCAUGAUGUGAUUCAUGGAAUAUUCCAAUUUGUGGCAAAGGAGGAGGAGCCAUUUGUUUGGAAAUAGAGAAGGAAUCCAAUACGUACCCCGCCUUUCACCUACUCAGUCGAAGACCCGGAAAUAUCCGUGGAAUUCUACUGAAGAUUUGGUCCUUAGAAAAGCCAGUGAAUGGGACGUGGAAGGACUUGAGGUUGGACGAUGAUAUUGGACUAAUAUUGGACACCCGGAUUCUGCAUAUAAUCUGAAAAAAAAACCACAUACCGGUAAGUGUAUUUUUUCCCAG